AUGGCGCCUGUGGUUAGCGCUGCACUCGGCGCCUUGGGUCCCCUGCUGGUGAAGCUCAGCGGCCUGCUCGCCGGCGAGUAUGGCCGCCUCAAAGGGGUCCGCCGUGAGAUUCGCUCCCUAGAAUCUGAGCUCACCAGCAUGCAUGCUGCCUUGGAAGAGUACACUAAGCUGGAAGAUCCAAGUGGGCAAGUGAAGGCAUGGAUAUCUCUGGUGCGGGAGCUGGCAUAUGAUACCAAGGACAUCUUCGACAAGUUCAUCCAUCACCUUGGUAAGCGUGGUCAUCGUGGUGGUUUCAAGGAGUUCUUGCGCAAGAUAACUCUCCCUCUGAAGACGCUUGGAGCUCGGCGUGAAAUCGCCGACCAAAUCGAUGACCUGAAGGAUCGCAUCAAGCAAGUGAAAGAUCUCAAGGAUAGUUACAAGUUGAAUGAUGUUCCUUCGAGCACGACUGGCCAUCUGGCCGUGGAUCCCCGACUGCAUGCAGUCUUUGCUGAGGAGGCACACCUUGUGGGCGUGGAUGGUCCAAGGGAUGAUCUUGCCAAGUGGAUGGUGGAAGAAGGAAACAACUCAUCCAAACCUCGCAAGGUGUUAUCUAUUGUUGGUUUUGGUGGAUUGGGAAAAACAACACUGGCAAAUGAGGUCUAUCGCAAGAUUCAAGAGCAAUUUGAUUGUAAGGCUUUCGUAUCGGUCUCGCAAAAACCAGACAUAAAGAAAAUUAUGAAGGAUGUGAUCUCUCAAGUGUCAUGCCAAGGUGGAUCCACAAAAGAUACUAGUGAUUGGGAUGAAAUUAAGUCCAUUUCAAAGCUAAGAGAACUACUGCAAAAUAAAAGGUAUCUCAUCAUCAUUGAUGAUGUAUGGUCUGCACAAGCAUGGAAAACUAUCAAGUGCGCUUUCCCAGAGAACAAUUGCUCUAGCAGAAUUAUAGUUACUACACGCAUCAUUGAUGUAGCCAAGUCAUGUUGUUUGGGAGGUGAUGACCAGAUGUAUGAACUAAAAUCCCUAAGUGAUCUCCACUCUAGAAUAUUGUUUUUCACAAGAAUAUUUGGCUCCGGGAAAAAUUGCCCUGACAUGUUGGAAGAAGUUUCAAAUAAUAUUCUAAAGAAAUGUGGAGGCCUACCAUUGGCAAUUAUAAGUAUAGCUGGUUUACUAGCAAACCGACCAGUUAUCAAGGAAGAGUGGGAGAAGGUUAAGAGGUCAAUUGGUUCUGCACUGGAGAAAACUAAGAGUCUAGAGGGCAUGAGUAGCAUACUAUCUCUGAGCUAUAAUGAUCUUGCACCUAAUCUCAAGACGUGCUUGUUGUAUCUAAGUUUAUUUCCCGAAGACCAUGUGAUUGAGAGAACUAGGCUAGUGAGGCUAUGGAUAGCAGAAGGCUUCAUCUCUGAAGAGCGUGGACAGAGCAAGCAAGAGGCCGCUGAGAAUUACUUCUAUGAGCUUAUCAACAAAAGUAUGGUUCAACCAGUGGACAUUGGCUUUGAUGGUAAGGUUCGAGCAUGUCGAGUCCAUGACAUGAUGCUUGAACUUAUUAUUUCAAAAUCAGUUGAAGAUAAUUUUACCACUAUGGUAGGUGGAGGCCAAAGUUUGAAAAAUCAACAGGGUUUUAUUCGGCGGCUAUCAAUCCAGUACAUUGACAAGGAACUUGCAUCUGCACUGGCAAAUCUAGAUCUAAGCCAUGUUCGAACUUUGAUAGUAAUGCCAUCAUGUUGCAUCGAACACAUGCCAAGGCUUGAUCUGUUUGAAGCUUUACGUGUUCUUGAUUUUGAAGGUUAUGAGGAUUUAAAGGACUUUGAUAUGAACGGUAUGGAAAAAUUAGUCCAACUAAAGUACCUCAACUUUAGGGGCAAAUAUAUAUCAAAGCUACCAUCAGGAAUCGUGAUGCUAACUAAUCUAGAGACCCUAAUUUUUGGGUAUACACGUGAUCAAGAGUCGCCUGCUGGCUUUGGCCGGCUAACUAAACUUGAACACCUACAAGGAUAUUGGUUGACUCUAUCAGAUGGGAUUGGGGAUAUGAAGAACUUACAGUUGAUGUCAGGCUUGGUUAUUACCUCCAGUAUAACGGAUGUGUUGGAGGAUCUCGGGAGCCUAACAAGUUUGAAGGAGCUCAAGGUUUGUCUCCGCCUUGCAAACGGAAUAUCUGAUCUAGUAUCUUGCGAGGACAAGAGAUGUGAAGAGGCGUUCCUCUCCUCACUGUGCAAGCUUGGUACCUGCAAACUCCGAUCUUUGGAUAUAACACCGAGCGGUGCUUCCCUUGACUUCUUAGAUUCUUGGUGCCCUCUGCCAUCUUCUCUUCAAAGGUUUUACACGCACUACAUGGAUUCGUUCACCAAGUUUCCAAAGUGGAUUACACCAGCACUCACUAACCUUGCCGACCUGGGCAUCUGCAUAGCUGAAAUGACAGAAGAUGAUCUGGUUACUCUUGGGCAGCUCCCAUCCUUACUUCGCCUGUUCCUAUGGCCAUCAAAUAAGUUGGUUGGCACAAUCCAACGCAAUUCUUUCCUGAAUCUGAAGGUUUUGGACUUCGAAUUUAAGACUAAACGAGCAUAUGUUACGUUUGUGGAAGGGUCUGCGCCCAAGCUUGAGGAACUUACCAUCACAUUCAGUGUGUCGGCAGCAAAAGCUAAUGACUUCUAUUCAGGCAUUGAGCAUCUCUCAUCUCUCAAAGAAGCUAGGAUAUAUCUUGAUGAUGAAGAUGCGACACGUUCAGAAUGCAAGGCUGCAGCUGCUGAGAUCAGGAAUGAAGCGGGUGUCAAUCCCAACCAUCCUGCACUUAUUAUUGAGAGGGAACCAAAGGGAGAGGACGAUGAAGAGGCCAGUGGUAGUAACGAGGAGAAGAGCAAGGGAGUUUCUGAUGAGGUUUAA
This 2853-nucleotide ribosomal RNA is filed under the name Triticum aestivum (bread wheat). RNAcentral's name for it is "partial small subunit ribosomal RNA". The record is from RNAcentral. Lineage: Eukaryota; Viridiplantae; Streptophyta; Magnoliopsida; Poales; Poaceae.